UGCCAGACUCCUACGGGAGGCAGCAGUGGGGAAUAUUGCACAAUGGGGGAAACCCUGAUGCAGCAACGCCGCGUGAGUGAAGAAGUAUUUCGGUAUGUAAAGCUCUAUCAGCAGGGAAGAAGAUGACGGUACCUGACCAAGAAGCCCCGGCUAACUACGUGCCAGCAGCCGCGGUAAUACGUAGGGGGCAAGCGUUAUCCGGAUUUACUGGGUGUAAAGGGAGCGUAGACGGCUGUGCAAGCCAGAUGUGAAAGCCCGGGGCUCAACCCCGGGACUGCAUUUGGAACUGUGUGGCUGGAGUGUCGGAGAGGCAGGCGGAAUUCCUAGUGUAGCGGUGAAAUGCGUAGAUAUUAGGAGGAACACCAGUGGCGAAGGCGGCCUGCUGGACGAUGACUGACGUUGAGGCUCGAAAGCGUGGGGAGCAAACAGGAUUAGAUACCCCAGUA
This 446-nucleotide ribosomal RNA is filed under the name uncultured bacterium. RNAcentral describes it as "bacterial SSU rRNA". It matches the Rfam family "Bacterial small subunit ribosomal RNA", at positions 329 to 792 of the family's 1533-position model. The record is from RNAcentral.